Molecule: unclassified non-coding RNA, 380 nt
Filed under: uncultured bacterium
Lineage: Bacteria
Description: contains 16S-23S intergenic spacer region
Source: RNAcentral
UCCGGUUUGGCACCGGCAUUCCUCCCAGAGUCCCCGACUUGACUCGCUGGCAACUGGGAGCGGGGGUUGCGCUCGUUGCGGGACUUAACCCAACAUCUCACGACACGAGCUGACGACAGCCAUGCAGCACCUGUGUCGGCUCCUCUUGCGAGGUCUCUCCCCUUUCGGUUCAAUACCACCGACAUGUCAAACCCAGGUAAGGUUUUUCGCGUUGCGUCGAAUUGGACCACAUGCUCCACCGCUUGUGCGGGUCCCCGUCAAUUCCUUUGAGUUUUAACCUUGCGACCGUACUCCCCAGGCGGUCAACUUCACGCGUUAGCUUCGUUACCAAGGAAUUGCUUCCCCGACAACCAGUUGACAUAGUUUAGGGCGUGGACUAC